UCUAUGUCUUAGAUUGCAUUUAAUCUCAUUUUUUACAUGUUGCAUUGUACGAUUGCAUAGUAGCUCCAUUCCUUAUGCUUUGUAAUUGAUAACCUAGUGUACUUGGAACGCUUGGUAACUUAGAUAGGUGAGGAUUGGGUCGGAACGUGGAUUUUAUGAUACGAAAGAAAAAAGAUGAACCCGAUGGGGGUUGGUGACAUAGAAAGUAGUGUUAAAUGUUAAAGAACAAACGAGUGGCAUCCAACUGUUAAAGAAUAACGAGUGGCAUUAAUGUAGUGUAAAUGACACUAGAGAUUUGAGAACCUAGGGAU
This 311-nucleotide long non-coding RNA is filed under the name Ananas comosus (pineapple). Its description in RNAcentral is "long non-coding RNA (ACOM_LNC000709)". Lineage: Eukaryota; Viridiplantae; Streptophyta; Magnoliopsida; Poales; Bromeliaceae. The record is from RNAcentral.